CCUACGGGAGGCUGCAGUGGGGGAUAUUGCACAAUGGAGGAAACUCUGAUGCAGCAACGCCGCGUGAGGGAAGAAGGUCUUCGGAUUGUAAACCUAAGUAGUCAGGGACGAAUAAUGACGGUACCUGAAGAGUAAGCUCCGGCUAACUACGUGCCAGCAGCCGCGGUAAUACGUAGGGAGCGAGCGUUGUCCGGAUUUACUGGGUGUAAAGGGUGCGUAGGUGGGAUUGCAAGUCAGGCGUGAAAUACCGGGGCUUAACCUCGGGGCUGCGUUUGAAACUGUAGUUCUUGAGUGAAGUAGAGGCAGGCGGAAUUCCUAGUGUAGCGGUGAAAUGCGUAGAUAUUAGGAGGAACACCAGUGGCGAAGGCGGCCUGCUGGGCUUUAACUGACGCUGAUGCACGAAAGCAUGGGGAGCAAACAGGAUUAGAUACCCCGGUAGUC
This 441-nucleotide ribosomal RNA is filed under the name uncultured Oscillospiraceae bacterium. RNAcentral describes it as "bacterial SSU rRNA". It matches the Rfam family "Bacterial small subunit ribosomal RNA", at positions 338 to 795 of the family's 1533-position model. The record is from RNAcentral. Lineage: Bacteria; Bacillati; Bacillota; Clostridia; Eubacteriales; Oscillospiraceae.